Cucumis sativus (cucumber) is the source of this 1706-nucleotide long non-coding RNA. RefSeq lists it as uncharacterized. Lineage: Eukaryota; Viridiplantae; Streptophyta; Magnoliopsida; Cucurbitales; Cucurbitaceae. The transcript is spliced from 5 exons. The record is from RefSeq and is a predicted model, not a curated record.
AACACACCCUUAGUCUUUGUUUUUCUUCUGUAUAGUUGUUAGUCUGUUGAGUAUCCAUAAUUGUUUUUCUAAGUAGCAUUUUCUGUUAAUAUGGUGCUAAUGUUGGAGUUUUAUGAGUUUUGAAGACAUUGCUUAAGGUAAAUACAGUCACAUUUAGUCUUUUCUAAGGCUUUUCCUUUGGUAUUUCUAUACUGAUUUGUUUGGUUAGUAAUAUGUGAGAAAUCUGUGUUCUUAAAUAUAUCCAUAAAUUUGUAAAAAAACUUUUCUAUGGUUGUUGUUGCUUCAAUUUCUUCAGCAUCUAACUAUCCUUUUAAACUUCAUGAAAGAUUUGCUGAGGCUGAAAUCAUCAACGCAUGAGUUUGGGUUUGUCUGCUGAUGCAAAGCCAAGGCUGAAAUGGAGCCCUUAAUUUAAAGCUAUCUUCCAAAAUUUACAUGUAAUAGAUUCAUUUGUGGUCAAUGGAUUCCAAUCAAUUUGUUGCAGUCGAGGAUGAUGGCACCUUUAGCUGUCCUGUUUCAGGCUUUAGGUAAUGUGCAUGGAGCUAAAGUUCAUGCAAAUGAGCCAGUUCAUCAUGGUGUUAUAGAGAAAUUCUCAUGGGAAUUUGAAGAAAGUGGUGACCCAGAGACAUACUUUCAGGCUCUUCUUUCAUUGACCAAAGAGGGAAUUGAGAAAGGAAAGGUCUGUAUCGAUCUCAUUUCAAAAAGAGAAUUUAAGUCAAUCAAUCAUCCACCAUUACUUGAACAAAGCAAAACUGAAGUUCUCUUUUUUUGAAAAAAAAAAAAAAAAAAAAGAGAACCCCUAAGAAGAACUAAUCAGCAAUAGAAAUGCAUGAAAAUGGUAGUUCAACUUCAAACCAAAUCGAACGGAAUGGACUUAAUAAAGGUUUUCUUUCUCCUUAACUAACUAACAAAUAUUACGUUUCUUAAAAAAUAUACAGAAGAACAAUAUCUGGUACAAGUAAAGUUUUACAUAGAUCAGUGGCAUCUUAUGAUUUAGCUUGUUGUAGUGCUUUGAUUAACAUAAAACAAGAUUUAAAAUGUGAUUUUAAAGUUCCAUGUUCAAAAAUCACCUCUAAGGAAGAUUUAAAAGUUCGGCUGGAGAGAUGUCAAUGACUUCAAGAUUUUGUUGGACAAUGGCCAAAUUAAGGAGGCCACUGCUACAUACAAUCUGGGCUGUCUCCAAAUUGUUGUAUUUACACCAUCUUAAUGGAAUACCUUAUUGGAGAGGGUAAAUGCAAAGAAGGCCUUCAUAUUUUUUUUCCAAAAUGCAAGAUGCUGGAGUAUAUUCUGAUAAAGCAGCAUGCAAUAUAUUGAUUCAGAAAUGCUGUAAAUUAGGGGAGAGGUUAGUAAUGACACAAAUCAUGGAGUUCAUGAAAGAGAACCGCGUGCUUUGUGCUUCGAUGCCCCGUGUUUGUUGAAGGACAUGAAACUUUGAAAAGUUGUUAGAGAGCUAUCACUAAACGAAUGACUGGAAUAGAAGAAAUGAUUGCAAUUGAGUACAAUUUGUCAGGGUUCAUCUUUGUGACAAGAUCUUGAAGUUGGUUAUUUAUGAAGUGUCCUCGCAUAUUGGUUUCAGUUUUUGUUAUUACCUUCUCGCUGUUUUUUGUUAAUUUAUUGCAAAAGACUUCUCACUUUCUUUGUGUGUUGACUCAACUUGCUUAUGUAAAACGUAUUAAGAUUUCAUUUUUAACUAUUUGGUUGUCAUAAAA